CAAAACGGGACCGGCAACAAGGGACUCACGAAAGGCGGCGAUUACACGACCACGAAGCUUGGGGACCUGCGAUUCAGUUGCUCGCCAGAGGCUCUACGGGUGGCUUGAGAUAAGCUGCAGUGUUUGGUUCGAGCAGGAAACGUCUUUCUCCAAAAGACAAGGGAUGACCUGCAACACAAAAUUUACGAGGAAGGAAAGUCCUCGUUGAAAGCCUAGCUACAGGACUUCACCAGCCAAC
RNAcentral lists this long non-coding RNA (238 nucleotides) under Eucalyptus grandis. Its description in RNAcentral is "long non-coding RNA (EGRA_LNC000466)". The record is from RNAcentral. Lineage: Eukaryota; Viridiplantae; Streptophyta; Magnoliopsida; Myrtales; Myrtaceae.